GCGGGGGUAGCCAAGCCUGGUCAAACAAGCACAGCAGCAAGCUGGCCGUGGCCAGCGGCGGCAGGCUCAAGACCUGCUCCCGCAGGGGUUCGUGGGUUCGAAUCCCACCCCCCGCA
This 116-nucleotide transfer RNA is filed under the name Candidatus Caldarchaeum subterraneum. Its description in RNAcentral is "Candidatus Caldiarchaeum subterraneum (hot springs metagenome) tRNA-Leu". It matches the Rfam family "tRNA". From Rfam's summary of the family: Transfer RNA (tRNA) molecules are approximately 80 nucleotides in length. Their secondary structure includes four short double-helical elements and three loops (D, anti-codon, and T loops). Further hydrogen bonds mediate the characteristic L-shaped molecular structure. tRNAs have two regions of fundamental functional importance: the anti-codon, which is responsible for specific mRNA codon recognition, and the 3' end, to which the tRNAs corresponding amino acid is attached (by aminoacyl-tRNA synthetases). tRNAs cope with the degeneracy of the genetic code in two manners: having more than one tRNA (with a specific anti-codon) for a particular amino acid; and 'wobble' base-pairing, i.e. permitting non-standard base-pairing at the 3rd anti-codon position. RNAcentral also lists the same sequence under 4 other names. Lineage: Archaea; Thermoproteati; Nitrososphaerota; Candidatus Caldarchaeales; Candidatus Caldarchaeaceae. The record is from RNAcentral.